CCAAAGAAAAUUUGUUCGGUGUGUUCCGGCUGGAGCAGCAACUUCAUCCUUAUGGCAACCCAUCGUCUUCUAAGCUCAGUGCUACACGUGCUGGAUAGACAUGUCCAAUUUGGGCAGUCCGACCAAUAUGGAUUUCAUCUUCAUCUUCCUCUUCUGUUGUCUUCCUAUAUACUGGAUUAUCGAAGUUCAUGCUUUUAGUGUUCUUCCGUUUCCAGUUUCUCCAGAUGAGGUAUCC
RNAcentral lists this long non-coding RNA (235 nucleotides) under Gallus gallus (chicken). The record is from RNAcentral. Lineage: Eukaryota; Metazoa; Chordata; Aves; Galliformes; Phasianidae.